CUUUGAUCACCAGAGAUCAAAAAGGGGAAUAAUGGGAUAUGUUUUUGCUGUUUGAUUGUAAAUAACUAAACAAGGAUGUAAUCACGCUAAUGCCUUGGUUUAUUUCCAUAAAUGACUUCCCCUUCAAGAUCCUAUCGGAAGGGCCCCCAGAAAAAGGGACUUAUCCAGACUGAGUAGAUCCAACAUCCAGGCACCUGCUCGAUCCUGGGUUUGAUUAUGUGCUGUUGAUUAUGUGAUGUUGCUGAUGUUUUGAUAUCCUUCCCUGCCAAAAAAAUCCAGCAUAGACGACAAAGUUGAC
Long non-coding RNA from Syngnathoides biaculeatus (alligator pipefish), 298 nucleotides. RefSeq lists it as uncharacterized. The record is from RefSeq and is a predicted model, not a curated record. The transcript has 3 exons. NCBI's taxonomy places the organism in Eukaryota, Metazoa, Chordata, Actinopteri, Syngnathiformes, Syngnathidae.